Molecule: ribosomal RNA, 443 nt
Filed under: uncultured bacterium
Lineage: Bacteria
Description: bacterial SSU rRNA
Rfam family: Bacterial small subunit ribosomal RNA
Source: RNAcentral
CCUACGGGGGGCAGCAGUGGGGAAUAUUGCGCAAUGGGGGAAACCCUGACGCAGCAACGCCGCGUGAAGGAUGAAGGCUUUCGGGUUGUAAACUUCUUUGAUCGGGGACGAAAACUGACGGUACCCGAGGAACAAGCCACGGCUAACUACGUGCCAGCAGCCGCGGUAAUACGUAGGUGGCAAGCGUUGUCCGGAAUUAUUGGGCGUAAAGCGCGCACAGGCGGUCAUAAAAGUCUGGUGUGAAAACCUAGGGCUCAACCCUGGGACUGCAUUGGAAACUCUAUGACUUGAGAGCAGAAGAGGAGAGUGGAAUUCCUAGUGUAGCGGUGAAAUGCGUAGAUAUUAGGAGGAACACCAGUGGCGAAGGCGACUCUCUGGUCUGCAACUGACGCUGAGGCGCGAAAGCGUGGGGAGCAAACAGGAUUAGAUACCCCAGUAGUCAC